GACAGAGGGUGCAAACGUUGUUCGGAGUUACUGGGCGUAAAGCGCGUGUAGGCGGUUCGGAAAGUCGGGUGUGAAAGCCCUGGGCUCAACCCAGGAAGUGCACUCGAAACUCCCGAGCUAGAGUCCUGGAGAGGAAGGCGGAAUUCUCGGUGUAGAGGUGAAAUUCGUAGAUAUCGAGAGGAACAUCGGUGGCGAAGGCGGCCUUCUGGACGGCGACUGACGCUGAGACGCGAAAGCGUGGGGAGCAAACAGG
This 253-nucleotide ribosomal RNA is filed under the name uncultured bacterium. RNAcentral's name for it is "partial 16S ribosomal RNA". It matches the Rfam family "Bacterial small subunit ribosomal RNA", at positions 524 to 776 of the family's 1533-position model. The record is from RNAcentral.